AAUGGUAGAGGCGCGAAAGCUAUCAGUACCAGCGAGCUUUUGGGGGAGGCUCCCCGCUCAUUGGGAAAGGAACUUUCGCCGAAGCGUCGGAAAAAGCCUAUAUUUUCCGGUUGCUGGGUCGCAGGAAAACAUCUUGCGGACUGUCACUUCGGUGGAGAGCUAUCAU
RNAcentral lists this non-coding RNA (166 nucleotides) under pig gut metagenome. RNAcentral describes it as "Lysine riboswitch". It matches the Rfam family "Lysine riboswitch aptamer". Rfam says of the family: Riboswitches are metabolite binding domains within certain messenger RNAs that serve as precision sensors for their corresponding targets. The record is from RNAcentral.